CAUAUUUGUAAGCGGUACAUCUGAAAACUUUUGUCAAGAUCUCCGAACGAACUUGGACAUGGCUCAACCGUUUUCAAAAGGUUCAGACGAUCAUGAGUUCCUUGAAUCUGUGGAGAGAAUUCCCGACCAAGAGGCAGAAGGGGUGAAUUCCUCUACCGUCAACCACUAUUCAUCGAGCCCUCCGGUUGAGCUCACAAUUUUUUUCACGGGACCUUAAACAACUGGCGAUGUCUUUAGAAACGUAUGCAGAGGUUACUGUGGCUAAUAACAAACGUCUAAAUAACUCUAGGCCUGUUCAAGCUGUUCAACCACUAACCUGUAGGCCACCAUCACCGCCUGUUAUCAGUAUUGUUUAGUCAACGGUGACACGUCAUACCAGGAUCAGACACUGGAGUCGGAAGUGGGAGAAGCAACAGCGGCGGCAGCAUCACCUCCUGACGAUCUUUCCCAACGGGAGCGUAUGUUGCCUCUUCUGGAUCGAGCGUUUGCUAAUCUGAUCUCUACGCCUGUAUACGGUCCUGGGUGUGGGUUUGGUUCUGCAUUGUAUGACGUGUUGAGAUUUCUAAAUCAGUGUACAUCAGAAGAAAUAUUGCUGUUACACAUGCAUACUGAAUAUAUGGCAUCAUACUAUGGCUCAAAUACCUGAAUAAUAACCAACUAGGUAAUGCUUUCAAAAAAUCUGAAAACAUACAGGUUAGUCAAAAUGACAUUUUCUAUGAACUGAAUCAAAGUUUAAUACAUUUACAAAAUAGUUUAUGCCAGCAAGCUUCUUUGAACCAAUAUGUACUACACGCAUAUGUACUACACGCAUAUGUACUAGCAUUAACGUCAGAAUCUGUUAGUCAAAAUGAAUAUGAACUGCAGAGUCCUGAAAACACACAGGUUAGUCAACAUGACAUUUUCUAUUAACUGAAUCAGUGCUUGGCUGCAUUAAAUGAGAGGCUCUUAAGUGGUGAAUGUACUCAAUAGCUAGGUUCACAGAAUUCUUCAACUUGUUUUGAUAACGAAGAACAGAGUCCUGGAAUGUAUGAAACUGAUGUAGAAUUUCUCCCUUCAGAUAAUACUGAAAACCGUAUGGAAAUGAAACAAACGGUAUGGUAUAGAUCCUGACAUUAGAAUAAUUCGUAAAGAAAAGUUCAAUAACACAGAAAUUAGGAGGAGAGUUAAUUUUGCCUCACUGGGUAACAUUAAUAGUACUGCAGAAUUUUCCAAUUACGUUCUAGAGGUUAUAAACGGUAUGAUGGAUACCGUUAAUGAAAUAGCUAGUCUGAGAGAUGCUGUAAAUUUUCUAGUUCAAAGUCCUAAUCUGAAUUUUUCAUCACAACUUGAGUCGAAUCAGGGCCGUGGAACUAGACUCUUUUCUAGCCACGCUUGAGAAAGCUAUGCAGAGCAAUCUUGAGAUCCUGGCAAGUGAUGGUAUGGAAUUUGUGAUUCCGAUAGUGCACCCCCCCCCCCCUAAAGGAGGUGUUAGGAAUAAAUUAUCACAUCUCUUCAGAUCAGAUGUUUUCCGAAGGAAGAUGAGACAUCUGUAUGUUUUUUACAACACUGACAACAAUCUGUCUUCUGCCUUAUGUGUCGCACAGCUUUUGAAUCCUCAGGAAACGCCCCAAUACGUUAAAAAUGUUGCUAGUCAGAUACAGCGGGGUGUAGGAUUAUCUGAUAACUAUACGGUUAGUUUUAACAAUAUAAACCGAUUUGAGAAGGUAAUGAAUUGUAAAAUAGUUGUGUUGUGUCAGACGUUCAACAAAAGCGGUUACUAUUUUUUUUUAAACUAGCAGGACACCCCAUGAGAGAACCAUUUUCUUAUUCUUACGCGACAACCAUUACUACGGUGUUAAAAAUAUUGAGGGUCUUCUCGGGUUUCAAUACGUCUGUUGUUUUUGUUACAAAGGGUUCACAAGUAUGAGAAAACACAGAUGCGAGUAUUACUGUAACGUAUGUCUUGAUCGGGAAUGUAAUAGUUAUACUCAGAAUACGUGUUCAGAUUGUCUAAGACUGUAGGUCAGAUUACUGCUACGAAAAACACAAAGAAGAGAUGCGAAACUUGUUGGGUGAUACAUAUUCGUUAUGCAAAAUAGGAUUCUACUGCCCCAAAUGCGGAAUGGUAGAACAUCUGAGCCCCUUUAGCACAGGUAAAAAAGAACAUAAAUGUGCUCAGCCUCGGUGCAAAGUUUGUAAUGAAAAAAUAGAAUCGGAGGUCAAACACGAAUGUUUCAUACAACAGGUAGAGAGGUAGAGACGGCAGACAGGUAGAGAUGGCAGACGAACGUUACAUAUUUUAUGAUAUAGAGUCCAGACAGGAAACGGGGGUACAUAUAACUAAUUUUAUAUGCUGCAUGGGGUUUACUGAGGGUGUGUGGACGGCUGAAGGGGAUGGGUACAUUGAAGCCUUUUUUAAAAUGUUCCAUCAUAGAUACACAUUUGUAGCACAUAAUGCAAGGGGAUAUGAUUCCUAUAUUUUGUUUAAUUAUCUGGUGAAAGAAGGGGUUACUCCUACUAUCAUAGCACAAGGGGGGAAACGUUUGUGCUUUGAAGACACCACUUAUGAACAGAGAUUUAUAGACAGACUCUCAUUCCUACCUAUGAAACUUAGCGCCAUUACAAAAGCCAUGGGGUUUACAAAUGCUAAAAAGGAACAUUCCCACACUUCUACAACACCCUAGAGAAUCAGAACUAUGUGGGGUCGUAUCCUCAGCCUGAGUUUCAUGGUGUGGAUACGAUGAAGCCCAAAGAGAGGCAAGAUUUCUUUGAUUGGUAUGAAACAGUCACUGAUAAAGUCUUUGACUUCAGAAAAGAGAUUAAAGAAUACUGCUGUAAUGAUGUAAAGAUUUUGAAAACGGUAUAAAAUUUUCAGGAGUGCGAUUCUGAGAGACACAGGCGUUGACCUGUUCAAUCGAUUGCCAUAGCAUCCGUAUGCUUGAAAAUAUUCCGCACCAUGUUCCUGCCCGAAAACACUUUGGCCAUCCCUCCCCUAGAUAAAUACAUCAACUGUCAGAAAUCUUUCUCGAUGCUGUCUAUUUAAUGGCUCAAGUACAUUUCAGACAAACAGAACAUACCCAUUCAACAUGCACUUAACAAUGGGGAAGCCAAAAUCAGAAAUUAUUUUGUAGAUGGUUACUUUGAUGAUGGUAAAACGCACAAAGCGUUCAAGUUUCUCAGCUGCUUUUAUCAUGGAUGUGAUACGUGCUUUCCAUCGUGUACGCCACACCCUUUAAGUAAAACCUCAGGAACCUUCAGAGACAUUCAUCAGAACAGUCUUAACAAAAUUCAGAUGCUGCAGUGCAUUCACAAAUUGUCUGUAACCACCAUGUGCGGAACAUGAAUGGAAUGAUAUGAAAAAGAAUGAUGAAGAUGUAAAAAAAAUUCUCAAAACCUUUGACUUUCCAGAGCGCUUAAAUCCUCGGGAUGCUCUGUUUGGGGGUCGUACGAAUGCCCUAUAGCUCUAUUACACAGCUCAACCUGGUGAAAGAAUUGAUUACUAUGACUUCGCCUCCCUCUACGUUUAUGUGAAUAAGAUAAAAAUGUACCCCAUAGGUCAGCCUGUUAUCCUUUAUCGUGACUUUGGGUCAUUGGAAAACUACUUUGGCAUCAUCAAGGUAAAGGUUUUACCUCCCUGGGGGUUUUGGGCCCCUGUUCUUCCCUACUGGGUAAAGAAGAAACUCUUGUUUCCUCUCGGUAGAACCUGCGCUGAGCAACAACAGCAUAGCUGUGAUCAUGGGGAUGAUGAGAGGGCCCUGAUAGGUGCUUGGUGCAGUUUGGAGCUGAUGAUGGCCCUGCAGAAGGUACAGUUUGAUUAAAGUAUUUGAGAUUUGGCACUUUCCUAAUAGAACAAAUUAGCUGUUUUCAGAAUACAUUAAAAUGUUUAUGAAAACCAAACGAGAGCUCAGGUUAUCCUUCCUGGGUGGUUGAUGAAACCACAAAAAAAGGAGUACAUUCAAAAUAUGAGGAGAAUGAAGGCAUUAAGCUGGAGGAAGAGGAAAUUUCAGUCAACCUGGUCAAAAGGUCCGUAGCUAAGCUCACGGUGAAUUCUUUGUGGGGUAAGAUAUGUCAAAAAGCAGACAGGACAAACACGGUUUUGCUCAGAGAUCCUGAUGAGUUUUUAGAGUACAUGUUCUCGAACCUGUACGAUGGAAGUCAUUUCUCUUCUCUGAACGACGAGGUGGCAUUGAUGCAGUAGCGUCACAAGGGACAUCAGUUGCUGUAAACCAGGGUAUGCUAAUGUGUUCAUAGGUAUUUAUACGACCGCGUAUACCUGGCUCGAGCUGUACAAUUUGAUAGAUCAUUUAUAAGACCUUUGCUUGUACACAGACACGGAUAGCAUCAUCCUCAGAAGUCGUCAAGGUGAUUGGAUACCGCCUUUGGGCGAUUACCUGGGGGGUCUUACAAGUGAGUUGGACUGUGGUGACAAGAUUGUGGAAUUUGUCAGCUCAGGACCUAAAACAUACUGGUAUAGGACUCUCAAACGUAAAACAACCAUGAAAGCCAAAGGUAUCACUUUAAACUAUUCAAAUGCUAAACUCGCAAACCUGAAAUCUGAUGGAACUGGUUGACGAAUGUGAAAAACGGUGAUCAGACUAGAGUACUUACAACAGCCCACAAUCAAAUCAUGAGAGAUAAAAAGGGCUUUCUCUUGAAAAACAAAUCACAAAUGAAAAGAUUCAGGAUUGUUUAUGACAAACUUAUUUUGUUGCCUGAUUUCAGGACUCUGCCGUAUGAAUCUGAUUGUAUAUAGGAUUUGUUUUUUUGUUUUUUUCUGCUAUUGUAAAAUGUCUAACUCAUUGUUUUGAUGCUAGAAUGCAAGUACCAUUUUCAUGUAUCUUUUGCGGUCCUAGCAAUAGCGGAAAAUCUUUUUUCAUCAAAACAUUACUUGAAAAUUGUAAUGAGAUGUUGUCUAAAGUUCCUGAUAACAUUGUAUGGUGUUAUACGUGUUGGCAAGCUCUGUAUGAUGAGCUGAUGAACAAAAACAUUAAUUUUGUUCAGGGAAUACCAGAAUCUUUGUGUGAUGAUGAACUGUUUCCCCUCAGCAGGACUAACCUUCUAAUUCUAGACGAUUUGAUGAAUAAUGCCAGUAAGAACAAAGAAGUAGAAAAAGCUUUUUACAAAGUAUAGUCAUCAUAGGAACAUGAGUGUAUUGUAUUUGGUACAGAAUCUGUUUUUUCAGGGAAAAACCAGCAGAACUAUCAGCCUGAACGCAAACUACAUGAUUUUAUUUAAGAACCUCAGAGAAAAGUCACAGAUCAGCGUAUUGGCUCAUCAGCUGUAUCCGGGAAAUGCCAAAUAUUUUGUGGAAUGUUUUCAAGACGUCACCUCUAGACCUUACUGGUAUUUAUUUGUUGAUUUGAAAGCUCAGACGCCAGAAGACCUUCGUCGUAGGUCAAGCGUGUUUUCCAGGGAGACCCCUGCGUUGUACGUUCCUAAAAAAAAGCUUUAAAAUAUUGAAAAAAAAGGUCUAUACGACUAAAGUUAAAUCUAACGAUGCUGAAUACCAUUUAUAAGUCAUUCCCCCGGCAGAGGAAGGUUAUAUUCCGUAAGGCGUCGGCGGACCUCAUACUUUACAUUUACGAAUUGGCUUUUAAUCUACUCUGGUAACAUCCCUCUGACGGCUCCUCAGUAUCGGCUUUUGAAAAGACAUAAAAAGUGGAUAAAACUGUUUGCUAAUAAAAGAUCGUCUAUAGGUACAAAGAGAAAAGCUAUUAAAAAGAGGUUUCCUCUUACCCCUGCUUAGCAUAGCUGACCCCUUUAUAAGCAGUUUGAUAGCAUCGCGCAAAGAUUAAAAUGGAUACUGCAGAGAAGAUGUAUUUGGUACCCCAUCAUCAGAUAGGAAAAACUUAGAAACAUAAAACAAUAAACAAAUUUAAGACAGAUCGUGGAAAGCGACCUAAACGAAAUGAUAUGACAUAUUUUAACCAGGUCUAACUUGUACCCUUUUGAAAAGGUUGAACUUUACGCAUCGACGUUGCAACGAUUUUUAAAUAUAGUUAAAAGCGGAGAAGAAGAAAUUGCUCGAGUGACCCUAUCCCUGCCCGCCGAACCUGAAAAUAAGGCAGUGAGCGGGGUAAAGAAAGAAGCCAGUCGAAUGGUUGAGGACGAAAUCGCUAAAGAGAUAGGUAAUGUCCCUGCGAGAGCUAGAAAAUUGCUUCCUACGUCAUGGACAAAAUUGCAAAAUACGGUGAUGUAACAUUGUGGAACAAUGAAGGAGAGUUUAUUUUCAAAGGAAUAACUGUUAAAGGAUCGCACAUGUUGGACUUGAUUAAAAAGUUAACCGCCACCCAAAAGAUAUCUUUUGACCAGUGACUUUUAGGGUGGUACAAAAUGCUGCAUGCCGUAGCCAAAUUAAAUGUUCCGUAUUCAACCAUUCCUAAUGAUGGUGUUCGUCGAAAACCGUCAGACAUUUAAAAAUUCUAAAUCAUCGUAUUCACCAGUUUCACCCACUACUCCCUCAUGACCCGAUAGCAACGAUUCUUCUUCUAUUCUCGGACCUUCUGUUUCUAAACCCCUUUCCGCUUGGUUGAAAUUUGAU
Non-coding RNA from Electrophorus electricus (electric eel), 6520 nucleotides. The record is from RefSeq and is a predicted model, not a curated record. NCBI's taxonomy places the organism in Eukaryota, Metazoa, Chordata, Actinopteri, Gymnotiformes, Gymnotidae.